AGCAGCCGCGGUAAUUCCAGCUCCAAUAGCGUAUAUUAAAGUUGUUGCAGUUAAAAAGCUCGUAGUUGAAUUUCGGGAUCAAUACGUCGGUCGUGCUUCGGUACGUACUAACGUCAUUGAUUUCUCCCUUCUGACGAAUCGUGAUGUCAUUAAUUUGGUGUUACGGGGAGUUAGGACUGUUACUUUGAAAAAAUUAGAGUGUUUAAAGCAAGCAAUCGCUCGAAUACAUUAGCAUGGAAUAAUGAAAUAGGACGUUCGAACCUAUUUUGUUGGUUUCUGGGAUCGACGUAAUGAUUAAUAGGGAUAGUUGGGGGCAUUAGUAUUCAAUUGUCAGAGGUGAAAUUCUUGGAUUUAUUGAAGACUAACUACUGCGAAAGCAUUUGCCAAGGAUGUUUUCAUUAAUCAAGAACGAAAGUUGGGGGAUCGAAGACGAUCAGAUACCGUCGUAGUCUUAACCAUAAACUAUGCCGACUAGGGAUCGGAUGAUGUUAAUUUUAUAAUGACUCAUUCGGCGCCUUAC
Molecule: ribosomal RNA, 520 nt
Filed under: uncultured Glomus
Lineage: Eukaryota; Fungi; Glomeromycota; Glomeromycetes; Glomerales; Glomeraceae
Description: SSU rRNA
Rfam family: Eukaryotic small subunit ribosomal RNA
Source: RNAcentral